GCCGUAGAUACCUCGUGUGAGCUGUACAUUCAAUCAAUAUGCUCACCGGGUGUUUCUGCGACCU
This 64-nucleotide microRNA precursor is filed under the name Pristionchus pacificus. Its description in RNAcentral is "microRNA ppc-mir-42c precursor". Its record names the gene ppc-mir-42c. The record is from miRBase by way of RNAcentral. Lineage: Eukaryota; Metazoa; Nematoda; Chromadorea; Rhabditida; Neodiplogasteridae.